Corapipo altera (White-ruffed manakin) is the source of this 123-nucleotide long non-coding RNA. RefSeq lists it as uncharacterized. Lineage: Eukaryota; Metazoa; Chordata; Aves; Passeriformes; Pipridae. The transcript has 3 exons. The record is from RefSeq and is a predicted model, not a curated record.
GUAUAUGUGUAUAUAUACGGGCGGGAUGUAGGCGAACGUGAGAUAUAGGUGUUACGUAAAAAUAGUAUGGAAUAAGGGGUGGAGAAUAACUGGUUGCCAGGGAAGGCCUAGACCAAACCAUCA